UACGUAGGGGGCUAGCGUUGUCCGGAAUCAUUGGGCGUAAAGCGCACGUAGGCGGCUUUGUAAGUUAGAGGUGAAAGCCCGGGGCUCAACUCCGGAAUUGCCUUUAAGACUGCAUCGCUAGAAUUGUGGAGAGGUAAGUGGAAUUCCGAGUGUAGAGGUGAAAUUCGUAGAUAUUCGGAAGAACACCAGUGGCGAAGGCGACUUACUGGACACAUAUUGACGCUGAGGUGCGAAAGCGUGGGGAGCAAACAGG
This 253-nucleotide ribosomal RNA is filed under the name uncultured bacterium. RNAcentral describes it as "partial 16S ribosomal RNA". It matches the Rfam family "Bacterial small subunit ribosomal RNA", at positions 524 to 776 of the family's 1533-position model. The record is from RNAcentral.